RNAcentral lists this non-coding RNA (31 nucleotides) under Mus musculus (house mouse). The record is from RNAcentral. Lineage: Eukaryota; Metazoa; Chordata; Mammalia; Rodentia; Muridae.
UCUUUGUGCCAGAAGAGAAGAGACACACCCA